RNAcentral lists this non-coding RNA (159 nucleotides) under Dryobates pubescens (Downy woodpecker). Its description in RNAcentral is "Picoides pubescens (downy woodpecker) Eukaryotic large subunit ribosomal RNA". It matches the Rfam family "Eukaryotic large subunit ribosomal RNA", at positions 2642 to 2802 of the family's 3401-position model. The record is from Rfam by way of RNAcentral. Lineage: Eukaryota; Metazoa; Chordata; Aves; Piciformes; Picidae.
UUAAGUGCUGGCUGGGAUCCUAAGGCGAGCUCAGGGAGGACGGAAACCUCCUGUGGAGCAGAAGGGCAAAAGCUCGCUUGAUCUUUAUUUUCAGUAUGAAUACAGACCUUGAAAGCGGGGCCUCACGAUCCUUCUGGCUUUUUGGGUUUUAAGCAGGCG